GAUGAAGAACGUAGCGAAAUGCGAUACUUGGUGUGAAUUGCAGAAUCCCGUGAACCAUCGAGUCUUUGAACGCAAGUUGCGCCCGAAGCCACUAGGCCGAGGGCACGCCUGCCUGGGCGUCACACGUCGUUGCCCCCCCCCCAUCUACUCCUUCGGGAUUGCGGGGGGCGGAUGAUGGCCUCCCGUGCGCCUAGCCGCGCGGUUGGCAUAAAUACCAAGUCCUCGGCGACGCACGCCACGACAAUCGGUGGUUGCGAAACCUCGGUUGCCCGUCGUGUGCGUUCGUCGCGCAUCGAGGGCUCGAAAAAAUGCUCGGCUCCGGCUCGGCUUUCAACGCGACCCCAGGUCAGGCGGGGUUACCCGCUGAAUUUAAGCAUACAAUAAGCGGAGA
RNAcentral lists this unclassified non-coding RNA (391 nucleotides) under soil metagenome. Its description in RNAcentral is "partial contains 5.8S ribosomal RNA, internal transcribed spacer 2, and large subunit ribosomal RNA". The stretch from base 1 to 122 matches the Rfam family "5.8S ribosomal RNA", at positions 35 to 154 of the family's 154-position model. The record is from RNAcentral.